This 253-nucleotide ribosomal RNA is filed under the name uncultured prokaryote. Its description in RNAcentral is "partial 16S ribosomal RNA". It matches the Rfam family "Bacterial small subunit ribosomal RNA", at positions 524 to 776 of the family's 1533-position model. The record is from RNAcentral.
UACGUAGGGGGCAAGCGUUGUCCGGAUUUAUUGGGCGUAAAGAGCGUGUAGGCGGUUCGGUAAGUCUGCCGUGAAAACCUGGGGCUCAACCCUGGGCGUGCGGUGGAUACUGCCGGGCUAGAGGAUGGUAGAGGCGAGUGGAAUUCCCGGUGUAGCGGUGAAAUGCGCAGAUAUCGGGAGGAACACCAGUAGCGAAGGCGGCUCGCUGGGCCAUUCCUGACGCUGAGACGCGAAAGCAUGGGGAGCGAACAGG